This 414-nucleotide ribosomal RNA is filed under the name uncultured bacterium. RNAcentral describes it as "bacterial SSU rRNA". It matches the Rfam family "Bacterial small subunit ribosomal RNA", at positions 355 to 775 of the family's 1533-position model. The record is from RNAcentral.
UCGAGGAUCUUCGGCAAUGGGCGGAAGCCUGACCGAGCGACGCCGCGUGUGCGAUGAAGGCCUUCGGGUUGUAAAGCACUGUCGUGGAGGAGAAAGACCCGCAAGGGUUUGAUCGACUCCAGGAGGAAGCUCGGGCUAAGUUCGUGCCAGCAGCCGCGGUAAGACGAACCGAGCGAACGUUAUUCGGAAUCACUGGGCUUAAAGGGCGCGUAGGCGGGCCGUCAAGUCGAGGGUGAAAUCCCCCAGCUCAACUGGGGAAGUGCCUCCGAUACUGGCGGCCUCGAGGGGGAUAGGGGCGUGCGGAACUUCCGGUGGAGCGGUGAAAUGCGUAGAUAUCGGAAGGAACACCGGUGGCGAAAGCGGCGCGCUGGAUCCCUUCUGACGCUGAGGCGCGAAAGCCAGGGGAGCGAACGG